This 88-nucleotide transfer RNA is filed under the name Kordiimonas sediminis. Its description in RNAcentral is "tRNA-Ser". It matches the Rfam family "tRNA". From Rfam's summary of the family: Transfer RNA (tRNA) molecules are approximately 80 nucleotides in length. Their secondary structure includes four short double-helical elements and three loops (D, anti-codon, and T loops). Further hydrogen bonds mediate the characteristic L-shaped molecular structure. tRNAs have two regions of fundamental functional importance: the anti-codon, which is responsible for specific mRNA codon recognition, and the 3' end, to which the tRNAs corresponding amino acid is attached (by aminoacyl-tRNA synthetases). tRNAs cope with the degeneracy of the genetic code in two manners: having more than one tRNA (with a specific anti-codon) for a particular amino acid; and 'wobble' base-pairing, i.e. permitting non-standard base-pairing at the 3rd anti-codon position. Lineage: Bacteria; Pseudomonadati; Pseudomonadota; Alphaproteobacteria; Kordiimonadales; Kordiimonadaceae. The record is from RNAcentral.
GGAGCGGUGGCCGAGCGGUUUAAGGCGCACGCCUGGAAAGCGUGUUGACAGCAAUGUCUCGAGGGUUCGAAUCCCUUCCGCUCCUCCA